This 45-nucleotide non-coding RNA is filed under the name Schistosoma mansoni. Lineage: Eukaryota; Metazoa; Platyhelminthes; Trematoda; Strigeidida; Schistosomatidae. The record is from RNAcentral.
AUCCAGCCGACGAGUCUCAAAUAGGACGAAAUGAACGUUCUGGAU